UGGCGGACGGGUGAGUAAUGCUUGGGGAUCUGGCUUAUGGAGGGGGAUAACGACGGGAAACUGUCGCUAAUACCGCGUAGAAUCGAGAGAUGAAAGUGUGGGACCUUCGGGCCACAUGCCAUAGGAUGAACCCAAGUGGGAUUAGGUAGUUGGUAGGGUAAUGGCCUACCAAGCCGACGAUCCCUAGCUGGUCUGAGAGGAUGACCAGCCACACCGGGACUGAGACACGGCCCGG
RNAcentral lists this ribosomal RNA (235 nucleotides) under uncultured bacterium. Its description in RNAcentral is "partial 16S ribosomal RNA". It matches the Rfam family "Bacterial small subunit ribosomal RNA", at positions 96 to 334 of the family's 1533-position model. The record is from RNAcentral.